AUAAAACAGCCAUGGUGAAACUACCGAAUCAACCACUUGAUGAUGACAAACUAUGUUUGGGUCAAUUUCGGGUACAUCAACCGGUUUUCAAGAAAAUAGGUCUUUGUUAUUUCUUAAUAUUCUGAUGAUCCCGACUUCCUUCUCUGAAGAAAAAUUAAAUCCAAUUUGAUUUGUCUGUGGUGCCUGAAUUACAACCUGUAUCUUCUUUAUAUCCUCAACAUGCGUCAAAC
Molecule: long non-coding RNA, 230 nt
Filed under: Lathyrus oleraceus (garden pea)
Lineage: Eukaryota; Viridiplantae; Streptophyta; Magnoliopsida; Fabales; Fabaceae
Description: Pisum sativum (pea) long non-coding RNA (PSAT_LNC007998)
Source: RNAcentral